Molecule: ribosomal RNA, 253 nt
Filed under: uncultured bacterium
Lineage: Bacteria
Description: partial 16S ribosomal RNA
Rfam family: Bacterial small subunit ribosomal RNA
Source: RNAcentral
UCCGGAGGGCGCAAGCGUUAUCCGGAUUCACUGGGUUUAAAGGGUGCGUAGGCGGUCAGGUAAGUCAGCGGUGAAAUCUCUGGGCUUAACCCAGAAACUGCCGUUGAUACUAUUUGUCUUGAAUAUCCUGGAGGUAGGCGGAAUAUGUCAUGUAGCGGUGAAAUGCUUAGAUAUGACAUAGAACACCAAUUGCGAAGGCAGCUUACUACACAAAUAUUGACGCUGAGGCGCGAAAGCGUGGGGAUCAAACAGG